GCGCCCGUAGUCCAACGGAUAGAACAUAAGCUUGCGGAGCUUAAGAUCGAGGUUCGAUUCCUCGCGGGCGCA
This 72-nucleotide transfer RNA is filed under the name Patescibacteria group bacterium. RNAcentral describes it as "tRNA-Arg". It matches the Rfam family "tRNA". Rfam says of the family: Transfer RNA (tRNA) molecules are approximately 80 nucleotides in length. Their secondary structure includes four short double-helical elements and three loops (D, anti-codon, and T loops). The record is from RNAcentral.